CGCUCCCUGGUGUGUUGGCCAGUCGGUGAUGUCCCUGAGCCGAUAACUGCAACAACGGAGGUUGCCAGUUGGACCGGUGUGCAUGUCCGCACGACGGAAAGCCUUAAGGUCUACUGCAACCGCCACCUUGAACUUUCGGGUUCAAG
Molecule: non-coding RNA, 146 nt
Filed under: Xanthomonas citri pv. citri
Lineage: Bacteria; Pseudomonadati; Pseudomonadota; Gammaproteobacteria; Lysobacterales; Lysobacteraceae
Description: partial 6S RNA
Rfam family: 6S / SsrS RNA
About the family: E. coli 6S RNA was the first non coding RNA to be sequenced, but its function was unknown until recently.
Source: RNAcentral